Molecule: long non-coding RNA, 4978 nt
Filed under: Brassica napus (rape)
Lineage: Eukaryota; Viridiplantae; Streptophyta; Magnoliopsida; Brassicales; Brassicaceae
Description: long non-coding RNA (BNAP_LNC000712)
Source: RNAcentral
AAUUUUCUCAUUGACAAUUUAAGAGAUCAACCAAAACUUUCAAAACAACUGUAUUAAAAAAAACAUGAGUUGAGAAACACAGUCCCCACAAGACAUGUGAAAUUGGUUAUGUAAUAAGAGUGGACCAUUACCAAAACAAGUUGUAAACUUAGGAAGAAGGUGUUGUGAAUGUGUUGUCGUAUUCAUUACGUACAAUGAGAUUAUAUACAUCACAAGAGAUCUCAACAAUAGAUCCUUAGUUAUCAUAAUCUAUAAGUAUAUUCUAUAACAACUAUGAUACGAUCUUAUCUUGACUCCAACAAAGCUUGCUCCUCAAGUCGAACCAGACCGAGCUCAACCGUACCAAACCAAUGCUUACGCUAACACUCCCCCUCAAGUAGGUGAAUGUAGGUUACGAACACCUAACUUGGAUAACAAGUAGUUAAACGCAGGAGCACCCAACGCCUUGGUCAUGAUGUCUGCUAGCUGCUCUGUAGUUCGUACAUGCCGUGUCACAAUUAACCGGUCCUGUAUUGCAUCUCGAACACUAUGACAGUCGGACUCAAUGUGUUUAGUCCGCUCAUGAAACACAGGAUUGUUUGCGAUGUACAGAGCUGACUUGCUAUCACAGAACAUCUCCAUAGGUACCUUGUGUUGUACACCCAUGUCGCGCAGAAGCCUCUUCAACCACUUGAGCUCACGUAGUGCUGCAGCCAUGGAUCUGUACUCUGCUUCAGCCGAUGAAUGCGACACUGUGUCUUGUUUCUUAGUUUUCCAGGAAAUUGGAGAGUUCCCGAGCAGAGUGAUGAACGAUGACAGCGAUCGCCUUGUAUUGGGACAAGCCGCCCAGUCUGCGUCACAGAAUAUGCGGAGACGGAGAUCACUCACAGCAUUCAGCAUGAUCCCUUGCCCUGGACACCCCUUCAAGUAUCUCAUUACUCUCACGACAGCAUCCCAGUGCGCUUCCCUUGGCUUAUGCAUAACCUGCGAUAGUACAUGAAUCGCAUAGCUCAGCUCCGGUCUCGUGAUGGACAGAUACACGAGCUUUCCCACAAAACGCCUGAACCGCGCUGGAUUCUUGUAGAAUGGUCCAGCAACGGACAACAGCUUGUGAUUCUGUUCCAUAGGAGUCGAGACAGGUUUGCACCCAAGCAUCCCUGCUUCUGCUACAAUGUCUAAUGCGUAUUUCCUCUGAGAUAGGAACAUUCCUUCAGGUCCCCUUGCGAUUUCUAUCCCCAGAAAGUAUUUAGCUCUCCCGAGAUCUUUCAUCUUGAAACAUUCAUUCAGAUACACCUUGAACUUGCUCAUCAUGGUUGUAUCGUUACCAGUUAGAAUCAGAUCGUCAACGUAAAUGAGUACUCGCAGCGAUUUUCUCCCUUGAUGUAUGUGAACAAUGAAUAGUCAGAGUAGGAUUGUACAAAGCCAAACUUCUUCAACGCAGUUGUCAGCUUUGCGAACCAGCACCUAGGUGCCUGCUUCAGGCCGUACAAAGAUUUUCUCAACCUACAGACUUUACCCGGCGCACUUGCUUGAAAAUCAGGAGGCAUCUGCAUGUACACUUCUUCUUUCAGAUCCCCAUGGAGGAAAGCGUUGUGUACGUCCAUCUGAUGUACUUCCCAGUUCUUGGCCGCAGCCACUUCCAGGAGAGUUCGUACUGUAGUCAACUUGGCUACGGGGGCGAAAGUCUCAUCGUAGUCUUCUCCUUCUACUUGCCUGUUCCCGCAAACAACCAGACGAGCCUUUGGCCUCUCAAUGCUCCCAUCAGCAUUGUAUUUGUACUUGUAGAUCCACAUACACAUCAGCGCUUUCUUUCCUCUAGGUAGUGCUGUUACGUCCCACGUUCCUUGUUCCUCAAACGCCUCCACCUCUACUGACAUGGCUUCCUUAAAGUUAGGAUCCAGCAUAGCUUCUUUAAAGCUCUUUGGUUCUUUUCCCUCGGUUAUGACUGCAAGAAACACUUGAUGUUUCUCUGAAAAUACAGCGUCAGUAACAUAUGCGGAGAGUGGGUAAGAUGUAUUACCUUGAACCGAAUUGGAGGACCUUGAUGGAGUUGAUGCAGGUGAGAUUGGAGUGGCGUUAUGUUUAUCAAUGAGACACUGUGAGUUGUAGGUCACAUAGUCCCUGAGUUUGACUGAAGGUUGUGAGACUCGCUGUCCUCUUCCCAACAACUGCUCCACUUCGACAGGCUCUGCUACGGACGACUUGCCCUCUGUUUUCUUUGUUUCAGUGACCUGUUCUGCUACGUCCGGUUCAGCAGUUGACACUACGACUGUCUCACUAGCUUCAACUACUGGAACAGUGCUCCCCUCAGACGACUCCUCAAUCAGUAGAGCCUCAUGGAACACUUCCAAGUCAUGAGAUACAGGAAGAGCAUCACUGUUAACCGGCUCAAUCGUCUUCUCUUGAUACGGAAACAUGUCUUCUUGAAACACUACAUCUCGAGACACAAAGAACUCUUGACUCUCCAGAUCGUAUAGUUUCCAUCCUCUCUUCCCGUAAGGAUAUCCCACCAUGAUACACCGCCGGCUUCUCUCCUUGAACUUAUCUUUAUCGCGAGACAUCUUGUGUGCGAAGCACAAGCAACCGAACACUUUGAUGUCGGUAUAGUUUGGUGCCUUGCCGUACAAGCAUUCGUACGGUGUCUUCCCAUGCAGCAGGCUCGAGGGUGUUCUGUUAAUGACAUGAGCUGCGACAAGCACACACUCUCCCCAGAAUUUGACGGGAAGGUUUGCUUGAAACAUCAACGAUCUUGCGACGUUGAGAAUAUGACGGUGCUUCCGCUCAACCCGACCAUUUUGCUGUAGAGUGGCUACACACGACGUCUGAUGUAUGAUUCCAUUUUCCACAAAGUACUUUGACAGGCAAAUAAAUUCGGUACCAUUGUCACUCCUUACUGUCUGUACCUGGCGACCAAACUGUCUCUGAACCAGCUUGCAGAAGUUUGGUAGAACUGUCUUGACCUCAGUUUUCUCAAGUAACAAGUGUAUCCACACAGCCCUCGAGAAGUCAUCAACUAUCGUCAGAAAGCACACUGCACCGCAGGAGGAUUGUUUACGAUAGGGACCCCACAGAUCAACAUGUAUUAACUCAAAUGGUACUGAAGCUUUAUUAGAACUCUCGGAAAACACCCCUCGAGUUUGUUUGGAUUUAAAACAAAUGUCACAACCACCAAAUUUUUCCUUAUUGUCUAAAACACCAGAAACAAAAGGUAAAUGUCCUAAAACACCAAAAGCAGGAUGUCCUAAUCUCCGAUGCCACAGCGUCUUGUCUUCAGUAGACUUGAUUCUGUGUCCUCGUGCCAUAGUAACAUCUCGAUAAACAUAAACGCCAUCCCGUUCUUCACCGGCUCCAAUCAGGGUCCUCGUAAAACAGUCCUGCAACACACAUAGAGUAUCAGUAAACACAGCUAGACAUCCGGUUUGUUUAAGUAGCUUGGCAACCGAUAACAAUGUGCAGUUCAGGUUUGGUACAAACAUAACGUGUAACAAAGUAAUCUUGUCUGAAAGUCUAAGAGAACCACUCUUUGACGCGAAAACUUGACUACCAUCUGCAAAGCUCACAGAGCAGUUCACAAUAUUCACGGUCUCAGUAAGUAGAGAAAGGUCACCAGUCAUAUGAUGAGAUGCCCCAGUGUCUAGGAUCACCUCACCAGUCUGCUGCUUACCGUUCAACUUGUCGGGAAUUGGUGUUGUUUUCUGUUGUUCCAGAAGAGCAGUUAGAGAGGCCCAUUGUUCGUUGGUGAAUCCCGAACCACCAACUUUGGUCGCAGUUUGAGCUGCAUUAGCUCUCACCUGACCCCGUCCUCUGCCUCUGCCUUUGUUACGUCCACCACGCUCACUGUUCUGAUUUCGCUCUGUCCACCACUCCGGAAAUCCGACAAUCUGCCAGCAGUCCUUCUUGUCGUGUCCAGACCUCCCGCAAUGACUGCAAACCAGUGGGCUGCCCUGACUGCGAGCAACUGCUGCGAUCAGACCACUCAUAGACGCGUUGUCGCUGGAACCUCCGUCUGUCUUGGAUAGGAACCCGACUGCAUCCUGUUUUGCUUCACCUCUGGAUGUGAGAAUGCGUCUCUCUUCUCUCACCACUCGCUGAUACACCAAGUUCAGAUCAGGCAGAGGAUCCAUCCCGAUAAUGUUGGUACAUACAUUACCAAAACGAGCGUCAUCUAGUCCCAUCAGGAAGGUGUGCACUUUCUCUUCUUCAUACUCAGCAACAAACUUCUCCGAAGCUCCGCAGGUACACUGUGGAAUUGGCUUGUAACGUACAAGUUCCUCCCACUUCAGUACAAGACGACCAAAAUAGUCCAUAACGCUGGAACCAUCUUGUUUACAAGCCGCCAAUUCUGCUCUCAGUUGAUGCACUCGAACCGCGUUCCCAACCGAGAACCUCUUCUUCAGAUCACACCACAUCUUAUACGCUUCUGGUGUGAACGUUACGGUUGACCUGAUCGUGGGUGAGAUGGAAGCUCGGAUCCAUCCCACAAUCAUGGAAUUCACAGUCUUCCACAUCUCUGCUUCAGUUGGCUUCUCCGCUUCGUUAGGCAACUUGAGAGUACCGUUGAUGAAUCCUGCCUUGCGCUUAGCACACAGCGCAUUCUCCAGUUCCGACGACCAUUCGGCAUAGUUCUCUCCUGUCAACAAGACUGGAGAGAUGGAGACACCAGGAUUAUCUGACGGCGCCAGAUAGUAAGGUGAAAACAUUUUGUUGUCACCAGUGACACUCGCGACUGCGAGAUCUUUAGACAUGAUUUAAGUAUUUUCAACACGUUCUUCGACUGGAUCUAGAAUGGCUCUGAUACCAUGUAAACUUAGGAAGAAGGUGUUGUGAAUGUGUUGUCGUAUUCAUUACGUACAAUGAGAUUAUAUACAUCACAAGAGAUCUCAACAAUAGAUCCUUAGUUAUCAUAAUCUAUAAGUAUAUUCUAUAACAACUAUGAUACGAUCUUAUCUUGACUCCAACAAAGCUUGCUCCUCAAGUCGAACCAGACCGAGCUCAACCG